UCAGAUUGAACGCUGGCGGCGUGCUUAACACAUGCAAGUCGAGCGGUAACGCGGGAGCAAUCCUGGCGACGAGCGGCGAACGGGUGAGUAAUGCUUCGGAAUCUACCUUGUAGUGGGGAAUAACUAGCCGAAAGGUUAGCUAAUACCGCAUACGACCUACGGGUGAAAGCAGGGGAUCGCAAGACCUUGCGCUAUUAGAUGAGCCGAAGUCGGAUUAGCUAGUUGGUAGGGUAACGGCCUACCAAGGCGACGAUCCGUAGCUGGUCUGAGAGGACGACCAGCCACACUGGGACUGAGACACGGCCCAGACUCCUACGGGAGGCAGCAGUGGGGAAUAUUGGACAAUGGGCGAAAGCCUGAUCCAGCGACGCCGCGUGUGUGAAGAAGGCCUGCGGGUUGUAAAGCACUUUUAGUGGGGAUGAAAAGUCUAGGGCUAAUACCCCUGGAUCUUGACCUAACCCACAGAAAAAGCACCGGCUAACUCUGUGCCAGCAGCCGCGGUAAUACAGAGGGUGCAAGCGUUAAUCGGAAUUACUGGGCGUAAAGCGUGCGUAGACGGUUAUGUAAGUUAGGUGUGAAAGCCCCGGGCUCAACCUGGGAAUUGCAUUUAAGACUGCAUAGCUAGGGUGCGGAAGAGGGAAGCGGAAUUUCCGGUGUAGCGGUGAAAUGCGUAGAUAUCGGAAGGAACAUCAGUGGCGAAAGCGGCUUCCUGGUCCAGCACCGACG
Molecule: ribosomal RNA, 726 nt
Filed under: gamma proteobacterium L1884
Lineage: Bacteria; Pseudomonadati; Pseudomonadota; Gammaproteobacteria
Description: bacterial SSU rRNA
Rfam family: Bacterial small subunit ribosomal RNA
Source: RNAcentral